UCCGGUUUGUCACCGGCAGUCUCCCUAGAGUGCCCUUGCGUAGCAACUAGGGACAAGGGUUGCGCUCGUUGCGGGACUUAACCCAACAUCUCACGACACGAGCUGACGACAGCCAUGCAGCACCUGUGUUACGGCUCCCUUUCGGGCACACCCCCAUCUCUGGAGGCUUCCGUACAUGUCAAGGGUAGGUAAGGUGGGGAUGACGUGUGUCAGUCAA
RNAcentral lists this unclassified non-coding RNA (217 nucleotides) under uncultured Gammaproteobacteria bacterium. RNAcentral describes it as "contains 16S-23S intergenic spacer region". The record is from RNAcentral. Lineage: Bacteria; Pseudomonadati; Pseudomonadota; Gammaproteobacteria.